GGGUUGUGAGGUUAAGCGACUAAGCGUACACGGUGGAUGCCCUGGCAGUCAGAGGCGAUGAAGGACGUGCUAAUCUGCGAUAAGCGCCGGUAAGGUGAUAUGAACCGUUAUAACCGGCGAUUUCCGAAUGGGGAAACCCAGUGUGAUUCGUCACACUAUCAUUAACUGAAUCCAUAGGUUAAUGAGGCGAACCGGGGGAACUGAAACAUCUAAGUACCCCGAGGAAAAGAAAUCAACCGAGAUUCCCCCAGUAGCGGCGAGCGAACGGGGAGGAGCCCAGAGCCUGAAUCAGCAUGUGUGUUAGUGGAAGCGUCUGGAAAGGUGCGCGAUAC
RNAcentral lists this ribosomal RNA (332 nucleotides) under Salmonella enterica subsp. enterica serovar 4,[5],12:i:-. Its description in RNAcentral is "partial 23S ribosomal RNA". It matches the Rfam family "Bacterial large subunit ribosomal RNA", at positions 1 to 360 of the family's 2925-position model. Lineage: Bacteria; Pseudomonadati; Pseudomonadota; Gammaproteobacteria; Enterobacterales; Enterobacteriaceae. The record is from RNAcentral.